UACAUGGGGUGCAAACGUUGCUCGGAAUUAUUGGGCGUAAAGCGCACGUAGGCGGUUUGUUAAGUCGGACGUGAAAUCCCUCGGCUCAACCGAGGAACUGCGUCCGAUACUGGUGGGCUUGAAUCCGGGAGAGGGAUGUGGAAUUCCAGGUGUAGCGGUGAAAUGCGUAGAUAUCUGGAGGAACACCGGUGGCGAAGGCGGCAUCCUGGACCGGUAUUGACGCUGAGGCGCGAAAGCUAGGGUAGCAAACGGG
Molecule: ribosomal RNA, 253 nt
Filed under: uncultured bacterium
Lineage: Bacteria
Description: partial 16S ribosomal RNA
Rfam family: Bacterial small subunit ribosomal RNA
Source: RNAcentral